RNAcentral lists this transfer RNA (75 nucleotides) under Schistocerca americana (American grasshopper). RNAcentral's name for it is "tRNA-Thr". It matches the Rfam family "tRNA". From Rfam's summary of the family: Transfer RNA (tRNA) molecules are approximately 80 nucleotides in length. Their secondary structure includes four short double-helical elements and three loops (D, anti-codon, and T loops). Lineage: Eukaryota; Metazoa; Arthropoda; Insecta; Orthoptera; Acrididae. The record is from RNAcentral.
GCCUUCGGUGGCUCAGAUGGAUAGAGCGUCUGCCAUGUAAGCAGGAGAUCCCGAGUUCGAGUCCCGGUCGGGGCA